Molecule: ribosomal RNA, 253 nt
Filed under: uncultured bacterium
Lineage: Bacteria
Description: partial 16S ribosomal RNA
Rfam family: Bacterial small subunit ribosomal RNA
Source: RNAcentral
GACGAACCGUGCGACCGUUGUUCGGAAUCACUGGGCUUAAAGGGCGCGUAGGCGGGCUGUCAAGUUUGGGGUGAAAUCCCGCGGCUCAACCGUGGAACUGCCUCAAAUACUGACGGCCUCGAGGAAGGUAGGGGCACGUGGAACUGUAGGUGGAGCGGUGAAAUGCGUUGAUAUCUACAGGAACUCCGGUGGCGAAAGCGGCGUGCUGGACCUUUUCUGACGCUGAGGCGCGAAAGCUAGGGGAGCAAACGGG